This 255-nucleotide ribosomal RNA is filed under the name Escherichia coli. RNAcentral describes it as "partial 16S ribosomal RNA". It matches the Rfam family "Bacterial small subunit ribosomal RNA", at positions 660 to 914 of the family's 1533-position model. Lineage: Bacteria; Pseudomonadati; Pseudomonadota; Gammaproteobacteria; Enterobacterales; Enterobacteriaceae. The record is from RNAcentral.
GGUAGAAUUCCAGGUGUAGCGGUGAAAUGCGUAGAGAUCUGGAGGAAUACCGGUGGCGAAGGCGGCCCCCUGGACGAAGACUGACGCUCAGGUGCGAAAGCGUGGGGAGCAAACAGGAUUAGAUACCCUGGUAGUCCACGCCGUAAACGAUGUCGACUUGGAGGUUGUGCCCUUGAGGCGUGGCUUCCGGAGCUAACGCGUUAAGUCGACCGCCUGGGGAGUACGGCCGCAAGGUUAAAACUCAAAUGAAUUGAC